UGCUGUCAUGUCCUCCUGCUGUCAUGUUCUCCUGUUGUCAUGUUCUCCUGUUGUCAUGUUCUCCUGUUGUCAUGUUGUCAUGUUCUCCUGUUGUCAUGUUGUCAUGUUCUCCUGUUGUCAUGUCCUCAUGUUGUCAUGUUCUCCUGCUGUCAUGUGCUCCUGUUGUCAUGUUCUCAUGUCCUCCAGCUGUCAUGUUCUCAUGUCCUCCAGCUCUCAUUGUAGAUUCUAUCAUGUAUAUUUCCUCUUUCUCAGAAGGGACAUGGCUACAAUCAGUAUUUACUUGUCUCAGUAAUGGGGUAUACAGUAGGCGCAUGUCUCCUAAUGAAGAAUGACUUUUAUUUUUAAAUGAAUCGACUGAAUUUAAUUUAUUUUCUAAUGCUUCUGUGUAGCUGAUGUAUUCCAUAUAUAACAAUGCCAUACAUAAGAUGAUAUUGUGUAUUUAUUAACCCCCCUGUAUAACACACUCAAAACAAUGUCCCACUACUACUGUCCGUCUAGGUUGUUUUGUGUCCGUUAUGUGGUGAUUGUACUCUUUGUGAUGAUGGAAGGGAGGGAGGGUUAAAAGAACAUGAACCUAGGUUAUUCACUGGUUGUGAGAGAGGGAGGGACUCAGACAGAGAGACAGACACCGUCAGCUGGCUCCUUUCCAGGUUCAUACAAGCAGAGGGGUUAAUCAGCCCCCUCACAUGGUCAGCAAAGAGGUGCUCUCACACCCUCUCUCCCUCCCUCCCUCCCGUCCUCCCUCCCUCCCUCCCUCCCUGCCUCCCUCCCCUGCAGGUUCACCAUUUUACCUCCAGGCCUGCUGCCACUCCUAAUCUACUGCCACUAAUCCUAAUUUCUAAGUGUAAGAGUGUUAAUAUAGUCACUAGUGGUAGCGUGCGUAAUGUAUUUGAUUAGAUAGUGUGUCCUCCACAGAUGGUAGAAGCCAGUGUAAUACCAUUAGUUUGUUUUAAUUAGCAACUAUAUCUCUAUGAGCAAUGUUGCUGAAAUAGCAGGAAUUCCCCCUCAUGUUUUCCAUGUAACUUUUCAUUUAAUUUUUAAAAAUUAUUUUACAUACUCAUGAAUAGCAUGCUUUCAGAGCCAAAAAUAUAUGAAGGAACAUGUUUAUGCGUAUGACCUAUGACCUAUGCAAAACCUCCCAAUUUAUUUGAUUUCUACAAAUGGCGGUACAAAUGUGGGGGGGGGGGUUACAAAACAGUUUUGAAAUCAUUACAGUUAUUUUUCCCCAGACCACCUCGUCAGGCUCUUCUCUCUCUCUCUCUUCUGUAAGUAGUUAUGACGACGCUGUGGAUUCAUAAGGUUAAAAGGGGCCAUGUAUAGAUUGUGAUUAUUAAUUGUCUGCCUUGUACUUUCUGAUGUAAAUGUGUUUUUAAAACCUAAAAAAAAAAAAAAACAUUGACAAACAUACAAAAAUAUUUUGACUUUUUUCAUUAUGCUUCAUUAUUUUGUGAAUUUUUCCAUCAAAGAUCAGACAAAUCUGGACAGUCGGCUACUCUUACGGCAUACGAAAACCUUUUGAAUUACUCCAAAAGUAAUUUAUUGUAUAUAUUGUGUUAGCAUGAAUCAACAGUGAUGUGGAUUGUAGAUGUAAAUACAACACGUUUUUUUCCUGUGAUGUGGAAUUCAUUUAUUAUUAAUAAUAAUGCUAAACAUUAAAGAUCUUGUUUUAUUGGCUC
RNAcentral lists this long non-coding RNA (1676 nucleotides) under Salmo salar (Atlantic salmon). Its description in RNAcentral is "lncRNA (ENSSSAG00000084747.1)". The record is from RNAcentral. Lineage: Eukaryota; Metazoa; Chordata; Actinopteri; Salmoniformes; Salmonidae.